This is a long non-coding RNA of Vidua chalybeata, 576 nucleotides long. RefSeq lists it as uncharacterized. The transcript has 6 exons. The record is from RefSeq and is a predicted model, not a curated record. NCBI's taxonomy places the organism in Eukaryota, Metazoa, Chordata, Aves, Passeriformes, Viduidae.
GUGCUGUCCUGCUGCGAGGGCCGCACUAUCCCCACGAGUUCGGGCUCCCAUGUGCUGCUGCAGGGAGUCACAGUUUAACAGAGUAAAGAACAUGAACAAAGAGUAACACACUGUUUAGAAAAGUUACUUCAGGAGACUGCUGCAAGAGGGAAAAGCUGCUGGCUCUCCUGUCUGGUUGAGUCCAACAGUAGAGCAAAUGUAAGCCCUUAAGGAGCACAACAGACCCCGAACUGGCAAAAUACAGAAGAUCUGCCAAGCAGGAUGCAUUGUGCCACUCCAAGUGACAAACAGGACAGUGUCUCAUAGGCAGGCUGUCAAAUUGCAAAGUGUUCAGCAGCAGAUGAGCUUCACGUCCAGGAAUGCAACCAGAAAUGUUUACCAUUCUGAUCUAGUAACUUCCUUCCGCAGAAAAUUUUUCACUCUCAUGAAACAUUACUCACAUGACUGCAUUGGAGUGUCAUGAAAAAGCAACUCAUCAGUUUGUAUGUAUCUGCAGAAGAGUAAUUUCCAGGGCUGAUGGAACAAGGCUGGAAGCCAGAUCCAGAAAGAAUUUAAGGAGCUUAUUGUGAGUUUCUU